This 859-nucleotide long non-coding RNA is filed under the name Macaca nemestrina (pig-tailed macaque). RNAcentral describes it as "lncRNA (ENSMNEG00000045816.1)". Lineage: Eukaryota; Metazoa; Chordata; Mammalia; Primates; Cercopithecidae. The record is from RNAcentral.
CCCGUCCUGCUGCAGCCUGCCCUGAGCUCCGGAAGCUGGUGGUGCCCCUCAGUGGAUCUUCACCCACAAGAGCACCUGCUGCAGACCAGUGACUUCAAAAGUGAAAUGACUGCCAAAAACUCCACGGCCUCCAAGUUUCUUCCUUCACAUCCAAGCAAGAGAGACUUCACAGUGAUGGACCAGCUAAGUCAUGUGCCCACUCCUGCCCAGUCCAUCACGCGGGUAGCAGAGUCCCUGAGAUGAUCGGCUUAGGCCCGAGGCCUUUCCUGAACACCCAUAUUUUCCAGCUCUUCAAGGGGAGCAUCUGCUGAACGGGAUGGGUGAAGUGAUGGGAAGCAGAGAAGCAGGCCUGCUCAUUGUGUGAUGGGGGAUGUGGGAGUGUCUGCGGGACACUGGCCGGAGCGUGUGUCUUUCACAGAUUGCACCAAGCCUGGGCGGGGAGUACAUGGUUCUGCACAGGGGUUGGGGUCUGUGGCCUUGGUACCUCCCCAGCCAGAAGAUCACACGUGCCCCUGGAUCUCACAGCCUCUUCAGGAACGAGCCCUGGACAGCACUGUCAACAAGAUGGGUGCUUGGUGCUUUCCCUGUUUUCUAUCAGAGAAGGUUCUGGUUUCUGAUGACUCCAACCUGCAUGCAGAUUACAUGCCAGCAGGGAGUUGAUGGCAACUGGAAUCGUGCCAACUUCACUUCCUACUGUGAUCCAACAGCCCUUGGCCUGCCCUCUAACCCUCUCCCCUCCAAAGUCGUCUCUCAAGCCUCAGUGGAACAAUCACAGCUCUUCCUCACAGCACAGGGCAACCUGGACCCGGUCUUACGGCUCUCCCAUCUGAUCUGGGAACUAGGACUGCUCAUCUACUAA